RNAcentral lists this ribosomal RNA (422 nucleotides) under uncultured bacterium. RNAcentral's name for it is "bacterial SSU rRNA". It matches the Rfam family "Bacterial small subunit ribosomal RNA", at positions 97 to 516 of the family's 1533-position model. The record is from RNAcentral.
GGCAAACGGGUGCGCAACACGUACAGAACCUUCCUUUAAGCGGGGGAUAGCCCAUAGAAAUGUGGAUUAAUACCCCAUGGUAUAAUUGUCUGGCAUCAGAUGGUUAUUAAAGAUUUAUCACUUAGAGAUGGCUGUGCGUCUGAUUAGGUAGUUGGUUGGGGUAAUGGCCCACCAAGCCUUCGAUCAGUAACUGGUGUGAGAGCACGACCAGUCACACGGGCACUGAGACACGGGCCCGACUCCUACGGGAGGCAGCAGUAAGGAAUAUUGGUCAAUGGAGGCAACUCUGAACCAGCCAUGCCGCGUGAAGGAUGAAGGUCCUCUGGAUUGUAAACUUCUUUUAUGUGGGAAGAAAUGCAUUCUUUAUAGAGUGUUUGACGGUACCAUAGGAAUAAGCACCGGCUAACUCCGUGCCAGCAGCC